RNAcentral lists this ribosomal RNA (2927 nucleotides) under Salmonella enterica subsp. enterica serovar Milwaukee str. SA19950795. RNAcentral describes it as "bacterial LSU rRNA". It matches the Rfam family "Bacterial large subunit ribosomal RNA". The record is from RNAcentral. Lineage: Bacteria; Pseudomonadati; Pseudomonadota; Gammaproteobacteria; Enterobacterales; Enterobacteriaceae.
GGGUUGUGAGGUUAAGCGACUAAGCGUACACGGUGGAUGCCCUGGCAGUCAGAGGCGAUGAAGGGCGUGCUAAUCUGCGAUAAGCGCCGGUAAGGUGAUAUGAACCGUUAUAACCGGCGAUACCCGAAUGGGGAAACCCAGUGUGACUCGUCACACUAUCAUUAACUGAAUCCAUAGGUUAAUGAGGCGAACCGGGGGAACUGAAACAUCUAAGUACCCCGAGGAAAAGAAAUCAACCGAGAUUCCCCCAGUAGCGGCGAGCGAACGGGGAGGAGCCCAGAGCCUGAAUCAGCAUGUGUGUUAGUGGAAGCGUCUGGAAAGGCGCGCGAUACAGGGUGACAGCCCCGUACACAAAAGCGCAUGUGCUGUGAGCUCGAUGAGUAGGGCGGGACACGUGGUAUCCUGUCUGAAUAUGGGGGGACCAUCCUCCAAGGCUAAAUACUCCUGACUGACCGAUAGUGAACCAGUACCGUGAGGGAAAGGCGAAAAGAACCCCGGCGAGGGGAGUGAAAAAGAACCUGAAACCGUGUACGUACAAGCAGUGGGAGCACCCUUUUGGGUGUGACUGCGUACCUUUUGUAUAAUGGGUCAGCGACUUAUAUUCUGUAGCAAGGUUAACCGAAUAGGGGAGCCGGAGGGAAACCGAGUCUUAAUUGGGCGUUAAGUUGCAGGGUAUAGACCCGAAACCCGGUGAUCUAGCCAUGGGCAGGUUGAAGGUUGGGUAACACUAACUGGAGGACCGAACCGACUAAUGUUGAAAAAUUAGCGGAUGACCUGUGGCUGGGGGUGAAAGGCCAAUCAAACCGGGAGAUAGCUGGUUCUCCCCGAAAGCUAUUUAGGUAGCGCCUCGUGAAUUCAUCUCCGGGGGUAGAGCACUGUUUCGGCUAGGGGGCCAUCCCGGCUUACCAACCCGAUGCAAACUGCGAAUACCGGAGAAUGUUAUCACGGGAGACACACGGCGGGUGCUAACGUCCGUCGUGAAGAGGGAAACAACCCAGACCGCCAGCUAAGGUCCCAAAGUCAUGGUUAAGUGGGAAACGAUGUGGGAAGGCCCAGACAGCCAGGAUGUUGGCUUAGAAGCAGCCAUCAUUUAAAGAAAGCGUAAUAGCUCACUGGUCGAGUCGGCCUGCGCGGAAGAUGUAACGGGGCUAAACCAUGCACCGAAGCUGCGGCAGCGACGUUUAUGCGUUGUUGGGUAGGGGAGCGUUCUGUAAGCCUGCGAAGGUGGCCUGUGAGGGUUGCUGGAGGUAUCAGAAGUGCGAAUGCUGACAUAAGUAACGAUAAAGCGGGUGAAAAGCCCGCUCGCCGGAAGACCAAGGGUUCCUGUCCAACGUUAAUCGGGGCAGGGUGAGUCGACCCCUAAGGCGAGGCCGAAAGGCGUAGUCGAUGGGAAACGGGUUAAUAUUCCCGUACUUGGUGUUACUGCGAAGGGGGGACGGAGAAGGCUAUGUUGGCCGGGCGACGGUUGUCCCGGUUUAAGCGUGUAGGUGUGUGUUCCAGGUAAAUCCGGUUCACUUUAACACUGAGGCGUGAUGACGAGGCACUACGGUGCUGAAGCAACAAAUGCCCUGCUUCCAGGAAAAGCCUCUAAGCAUCAGGUAACAUCAAAUCGUACCCCAAACCGACACAGGUGGUCAGGUAGAGAAUACCAAGGCGCUUGAGAGAACUCGGGUGAAGGAACUAGGCAAAAUGGUGCCGUAACUUCGGGAGAAGGCACGCUGACACGUAGGUGAAGUGAUUUACUCAUGGAGCUGAAGUCAGUCGAAGAUACCAGCUGGCUGCAACUGUUUAUUAAAAACACAGCACUGUGCAAACACGAAAGUGGACGUAUACGGUGUGACGCCUGCCCGGUGCCGGAAGGUUAAUUGAUGGGGUCAGCGCAAGCGAAGCUCCUGAUCGAAGCCCCGGUAAACGGCGGCCGUAACUAUAACGGUCCUAAGGUAGCGAAAUUCCUUGUCGGGUAAGUUCCGACCUGCACGAAUGGCGUAAUGAUGGCCAGGCUGUCUCCACCCGAGACUCAGUGAAAUUGAACUCGCUGUGAAGAUGCAGUGUACCCGCGGCAAGACGGAAAGACCCCGUGAACCUUUACUAUAGCUUGACACUGAACAUUGAGCCUUGAUGUGUAGGAUAGGUGGGAGGCUUUGAAGUGUGGACGCCAGUCUGCAUGGAGCCGACCUUGAAAUACCACCCUUUAAUGUUUGAUGUUCUAACGUGGACCCGUGAUCCGGGUUGCGGACAGUGUCUGGUGGGUAGUUUGACUGGGGCGGUCUCCUCCUAAAGAGUAACGGAGGAGCACGAAGGUUGGCUAAUCCUGGUCGGACAUCAGGAGGUUAGUGCAAUGGCAUAAGCCAGCUUGACUGCGAGCGUGACGGCGCGAGCAGGUGCGAAAGCAGGUCAUAGUGAUCCGGUGGUUCUGAAUGGAAGGGCCAUCGCUCAACGGAUAAAAGGUACUCCGGGGAUAACAGGCUGAUACCGCCCAAGAGUUCAUAUCGACGGCGGUGUUUGGCACCUCGAUGUCGGCUCAUCACAUCCUGGGGCUGAAGUAGGUCCCAAGGGUAUGGCUGUUCGCCAUUUAAAGUGGUACGCGAGCUGGGUUUAGAACGUCGUGAGACAGUUCGGUCCCUAUCUGCCGUGGGCGCUGGAGAACUGAGGGGGGCUGCUCCUAGUACGAGAGGACCGGAGUGGACGCAUCACUGGUGUUCGGGUUGUCAUGCCAAUGGCACUGCCCGGUAGCUAAAUGCGGAAGAGAUAAGUGCUGAAAGCAUCUAAGCACGAAACUUGCCCCGAGAUGAGUUCUCCCUGAGACUUUAAGUCUCCUGAAGGAACGUUGAAGACGACGACGUUGAUAGGCCGGGUGUGUAAGCGCAGCGAUGCGUUGAGCUAACCGGUACUAAUGAACCGUGAGGCUUAACCUUACAACGCCGAAG